This 2066-nucleotide ribosomal RNA is filed under the name Paenibacillus lactis 154. RNAcentral's name for it is "bacterial LSU rRNA". It matches the Rfam family "Bacterial large subunit ribosomal RNA", at positions 3 to 2058 of the family's 2925-position model. The record is from RNAcentral. Lineage: Bacteria; Bacillati; Bacillota; Bacilli; Caryophanales; Paenibacillaceae.
UUAAGCUACUAAGAGCACACGGAGGAUGCCUAGGCGCUAGGAGCCGAUGAAGGACGUGGCGAACAACGAUACUGCCUCGGGGAGCUGUAAGCAAGCUUCGAUCCGGGGAUGUCCGAAUGGGGAAACCCAGCUGGUGUAAUAGCCAGUUACCCGUAUCUGAAUACAUAGGAUACGAGGAGGCAUACCCAGGGAACUGAAACAUCUAAGUACCUGGAGGAAGAGAAAACAAGAGUGAUUCCGUCAGUAGCGGCGAGCGAACGCGGAACAGCCUAAACCAGAGAGCUUGCUCUCUGGGGUUGUGGGACGUCUCACAUGGAGUUACAAAGGUUUAGAUUAGACGAACAGGUCUGGAAAGGCCGGCCAUAGAAGGUAAAGCCCUGUAAUCGAAAAUGUGAACCCUCCGAGACGGAUCCCGAGUAGUGCGGGGCACGUGAAACCCCGUAUGAAUCCAGCAGGACCAUCUGCUAAGGCUAAAUACUCCCUAGCGACCGAUAGUGAAGCAGUACCGUGAGGGAAAGGUGAAAAGCACCCCGGAAGGGGAGUGAAAUAGAACCUGAAACCGUGUGCUUACAAGAAGUCAGAGCCCAUUAUAGGGGUGAUGGCGUGCCUUUUGUAGAAUGAACCGGCGAGUUACGUUCCCAUGCAAGGUUAAGGCGAGAAGCCGUAGCCGCAGCGAAAGCGAGUCUGAAUAGGGCGACUUAGUAUGUGGACGUAGACCCGAAACCGUGUGAUCUACCCCUGUCCAGGGUGAAGGUGCGGUAACACGCACUGGAGGCCCGAACCCACGUACGUUGAAAAGUGCGGGGAUGAGGUGGGGGUAGCGGAGAAAUUCCAAUCGAACUCGGAGAUAGCUGGUUCUCCCCGAAAUAGCUUUAGGGCUAGCCUCGGAAUGAAGAGUCGUGGAGGUAGAGCACUGAUUGGGUGCGGGGCCCGCAAGGGUUACCAAGCUCAGUCAAACUCCGAAUGCCAUAGACUUAUAUCCGGGAGUCAGACAGUGAGUGCUAAGAUCCAUUGUCAAAAGGGAAACAGCCCAGACCAUCAGCUAAGGUCCCCAAGUGUGUGUUAAGUGGGAAAGGAUGUGGAGUUGCACAGACAACCAGGAUGUUGGCUUAGAAGCAGCCACCAUUUAAAGAGUGCGUAAUAGCUCACUGGUCGAGUGACUCUGCGCCGAAAAUGUAACGGGGCUAAACACACCACCGAAGCUAUGGCUUGAUGCUUGCAUCAGGGGUAGGGGAGCGUUGUAUGCAGGUUGAAGGUGUACCGUAAGGAGCGCUGGACAGCAUACAAGUGAGAAUGCCGGUAUGAGUAACGAAAAGAUCAGUGAGAAUCUGAUCCGCCGAAAGCCCAAGGUUUCCUGAGGAAGGCUCGUCCGCUCAGGGUAAGUCGGGACCUAAGGCGAGGCCGAAAGGCGUAGUCGAAGGACAACAGGUUGAAAUUCCUGUACCACCGUAAACCGUUAUGAACGAUGGGGUGACGCAGGAGGGUAGUGACGCGGACUGAUGGAUGUCCGUCCAAGCAGUGAGGCUGAUGUGUAGGCAAAUCCGCACAUCGUUAAGGCUGGGCUGUGAUGGGGAGUGAAAAUUACAGUAGCGAAGGUCAUGAUCUCACACUGCCAAGAAAAGCCUCUAGUCAGGUGAAGGUGCCCGUACCGCAAACCGACACAGGUAGGCGAGAAGAGAAUUCUAAGGCGCGCGGAAGAACUCUCGUUAAGGAACUCGGCAAAAUGACCCCGUAACUUCGGGAGAAGGGGUGCCUCGGUAGGGUGAAUAGCCCGAGGGGGCCGCAGUGAAAAGGCCCAAGCGACUGUUUAGCAAAAACACAGGUCUGUGCGAAGCCGCAAGGCGAAGUAUACGGGCUGACGCCUGCCCGGUGCUGGAAGGUUAAGGGGAGCGGUUAGGAGGUAACUCCGAAGCUGUGAACCGAAGCCCCAGUAAACGGCGGCCGUAACUAUAACGGUCCUAAGGUAGCGAAAUUCCUUGUCAGGUAAAUUCUGACCCGCACGAAUGGCGUAACGACUUGGGCGCUGUCUCAACGAGAGAUCCGGUGAAAUUUUAAUACCUGUGAAG